This 709-nucleotide ribosomal RNA is filed under the name uncultured bacterium. RNAcentral describes it as "bacterial SSU rRNA". It matches the Rfam family "Bacterial small subunit ribosomal RNA", at positions 104 to 832 of the family's 1533-position model. The record is from RNAcentral.
GGGUGAGUAACGCGUGGGUAACCUGCCCUGUACACACGGAUAACAUACCGAAAGGUAUGCUAAUACGAGAUAAUAUGCUUUUAUCGCAUGGUAGAAGUAUCAAAGCUCCGGCGGUACAGGAUGGACCCGCGUCUGAUUAGCUAGCUGGUAAGGUAACGGCUUACCAAGGCGACGAUCAGUAGCCGACCUGAGAGGGUGAUCGGCCACAUUGGAGCUGAGACACGGUCCAAACUCCUACGGGAGGCAGCAGUGGGGAAUAUUGCACAAUGGGCGAAAGCCUGAUGCAGCAACGCCGCGUGAGCGAUGAAGGCCUUCGGGUCGUAAAGCUCUGUCCUCAAGGAAGAUAAUGACGGUACUUGAGGAGGAAGCCCCGGCUAACUACGUGCCAGCAGCCGCGGUAAUACGUAGGGGGCUAGCGUUAUCCGGAAUUACUGGGCGUAAAGGGUGCGUAGGUGGUUUCUUAAGUCAGAGGUGAAAGGCUACGGCUCAACCGUAGUAAGCCUUUGAAACUGGGAAACUUGAGUGCAGGAGAGGAGAGUGGAAUUCCUAGUGUAGCGGUGAAAUGCGUAGAUAUUAGGAGGAACACCAGUUGCGAAGGCGGCUCUCUGGACUGUAACUGACACUGAGGCACGAAAGCGUGGGGAGCAAACAGGAUUAGAUACCCUGGUAGUCCACGCCGUAAACGAUGAGUACUAGCUGUCGGAGGUUA